UGUGCUUUGAUGGAAAUCUUUUCCCCUUGAGAGAGGAGAGAUAAAAUUUGUGCAAAGAGAGACUACCCCUCCCUCUAUCCUACUCCCUACCUAGACAAUACACCUCUCUCUACCCUACUCCCUACCUCGACCAUACACCCCACUCUAUCCUACUCCCUACCUCGACCAUACACCCCACUCUAUCCUACUCCCUACCUAGACCAUACACCUCCCUCUACUCCCUACCUAGACCAUACACCCCACUCUAUCCUACUCCCUACCUAGACCAUACACCUCCCUCUACCCUACUCUCUACCUUGACCAUACACCCCACUGUAUCCUACUCCCUACCUAGACCAUACACCCCACUCUACCCUACUCCCUACCUAGACCAUACACCCCAUUCCAUCCUACUCCCUACCUAGACCAUAUGCCCACUUUACCCUACUCCCUUCCUAGACCACACCCUAUUGUCUAAAGAGGCUUUCAGGUUACACCGAUUGGGUCCGUCCUGGGUAAUUACCUUGGAAUUGCCUCCAGGGUAUUUAGGCUAUUCGCUUAGUACCUUUCUUCUAUCGUUGAUAUACCACUUAGGGGAGGUGACACUGGAAGGCUACCAGACGGCUACCGGAUUCUGCUCACCCCCUCUCACCACUUAGACUACAUGAACCUAGCCUAGCCCACCUAACCUAGUUUAACCCACACGAUCCUAGUCAAGCCCAACCAAGCCCACCUAGCCUAGCUCACUUAACCUAGUCCAACCCACAUGAGCUAGCCUAGCCCAACCAAGCCCACCUAGCCUUGCUCACCUAACCUAGUCCAACCCAUAUGAGCCUACCCUAGCCCAACCAAGCCCACACAAUCCUAGCCCAACCAACCUAGUCGAACCCAUAUGAGCUAAGCCUAGCCCAACCAAGCCCACACGAGCCUAGUCCACCUAACCUAGUCCAACCCACACGAGCCUAGCCUAGCCCAACCAAGUCCACCAAACCUACACGUACCUACCCUAGAUCACUUAAGCCCACCUAGCCUACACGAGCCUAGUCUACUCCAACCAAGCCCAUCUAGUCCAUACGAACUCACCUAGCCUAACGAAGCUUUCCUAGUCUACCCCAUGUCAGACCCAAAACCAUAUCGCACGUAGUCCAUACCCAAUCAACCAUACUUGAACCAAGCCUACAGUCGAACCUUUUCCAAACCAAGGAUCAGCCUGGGAGUCCAUAGGACCUGAAAUAUCACAUGUGCACGACUCAAACGAGGAAACCGAGCCGAGAAGAGAGCAAGGGGGUUCAGUCUAAAUCUCAUUGAACGAUGAUCGGGGGGCCUUUCUGCAUGAGCACACAAGCGCCAAGAUCUACGAGGGUGAUCACUCGGGUGUAUCCGACCCCUUCAGCUUAAGGUCCGCCUUACCUCAUUCUUUUAUUUUGUUGGUUCGAACCACACCGCCCACCCAAACAUAGUAGUACUCAAUUUAUUCAUGUCGUUUCUUUCAUAGAGCAGCCCAUGAUUACUAUUCCUUUCACAUAUUAGACUAUUCUCUACAGCGCUUCCAUGUGAGUGUCAAUGGGAGCAUGCAUAAAUUGGCACACUCGAUUAACAGCACGCUGGUGAGAGUGAGAUAUUGUAAUACCCCUGCUAAACUUCUAUAUUUCUCUUAAUUAAAUAAAGGUUGUCCUUCAGAUAUCCUUUUUUUUUUUGAGAAAAGGUUAACAUUGUAUUACUGGAUAUGAAGUGUACAAGAGAGAAGAGGCAAAGUUCACCCCCUAAGGGGUGGACUUGGAAAAAUAUAGUUAGUGUAUCAUAUACAAAAAGGGCUUAUAAAACCACCCAAUGCAAAUGUUUUACAUGAAGCUUUAAGAAAAUACAAAAAAUGAGGAAGCCUAGAAAAGCCAAGUGAUGUGCUAUGGAGGCGAGAAGAGCCAAAGGUCUUGCGCAAAAAAGGAGACGACCCCGGCUUGAUCUUGUAAUUGCAUAUUAGCUCGGCGAUCCGCGAAGUCG
This 1977-nucleotide long non-coding RNA is filed under the name Amborella trichopoda. RNAcentral's name for it is "long non-coding RNA (ATRI_LNC003901)". Lineage: Eukaryota; Viridiplantae; Streptophyta; Magnoliopsida; Amborellales; Amborellaceae. The record is from RNAcentral.